RNAcentral lists this ribosomal RNA (460 nucleotides) under uncultured bacterium. Its description in RNAcentral is "partial 16S ribosomal RNA". It matches the Rfam family "Bacterial small subunit ribosomal RNA", at positions 338 to 795 of the family's 1533-position model. The record is from RNAcentral.
CCUACGGGAGGCAGCAGUGAGGAAUAUUGGUCAAUGGACGAGAGUCUGAACCAGCCAAGUAGCGUGAAGGAUGACUGCCCUAUGGGUUGUAAACUUCUUUUAUAAAGGAAUAAAACGAGGCACGUGUGCCUUUUUGCAUGUACUUUAUGAAUAAGGAUCGGCUAACUCCGUGCCAGCAGCCGCGGUAAUACGGAGGCUCCGAGCGUUAUCCGGAUUUAGUGGGUUUAAAGGGAGCGGAGAUUGGUUGUUAAGUCAGUUGUGAAAGUUUGCGGCUCAACCGUAAAAUUGCAAUUGAUACUGGCAGUCUUGAGGACAGUUGAGGUAGGCGGAAUUCGUGGUGUAGCGGUGAAAUGCUUAGAUAUCACGAAGAACCCCGAUUGCGAAGGCAGCUUACUAAACUGUGACUGACAUUGAUGCUCGAAAGUGUGGGUAUCAAACAGGAUUAGAUACCCGAGUAGUC